Non-coding RNA from Paramuricea clavata, 69 nucleotides. NCBI's taxonomy places the organism in Eukaryota, Metazoa, Cnidaria, Anthozoa, Malacalcyonacea, Plexauridae. The record is from the annotation of a GenBank genome assembly.
UGGAAGUGAGGCUGAGGGGCCAAAGCGUAUGCCAUUACGCGUUUGCUUGGCCCCUCAGCCUCACUUCCA